This 253-nucleotide ribosomal RNA is filed under the name uncultured bacterium. Its description in RNAcentral is "partial 16S ribosomal RNA". It matches the Rfam family "Bacterial small subunit ribosomal RNA", at positions 524 to 776 of the family's 1533-position model. The record is from RNAcentral.
UACGUAGGUGGCAAGCGUUAUCCGGAAUUAUUGGGCGUAAAGCGCGCGCAGGUGGUUUCUUAAGUCUGAUGUGAAAGCCCACGGCUCAACCGUGGAGGGUCAUUGGAAACUGGGAGACUUGAGUGCAGAAGAGGAAAGUGGAAUUCCAUGUGUAGCGGUGAAAUGCGUAGAUAUCGGAAGGAACAUCAGUGGCGAAAGCGACUUCCUGGACCAGUACCGACGUUCAGGCACGAAAGCGUGGGGAGCAAACAGG